CCUACACGACCGUACCGCAAACCGACACUGGUGCGCGAGAUGAGUAUUCUAAGGCGCUUGAGAGAACUCAGGAGAAGGAACUCGGCAAAUUGACACCGUAACUUCGGAAGAAGGUGUGCCUUUAGUAGGUGAAGUCCCUCGCGGAUGGAGCCCAAUGAGGUUGCAAAAAAUCGGUGGCUGCGACUGUUUAUUAAAAACACAGCACUCUGCAAACACGAAAGUGGACGUAUAGGGUGUGACGCCUGCCCGGUGCUGGAAGAUUAAAUGAUGGGGUGCAAGCUCUUGAUUGAAGUCCCAGUAAACGGCGGCCGUAACAAUAACGGUCCUAAGGUAGCGAAAUUCCUUGUCGGGUAAGUUCCGACCUGCACGAAUGGCGUAACGAUGGCCACACUGUCUCCUCCUGAGACUCAGCGAAGUUGAAAUGUUUGUGAUGAUGCAAUCUCCCCGCGGAAAGACGGAAAGACCCCAUGAACCUUUACUGUAGCUUUGUAUUGGACUUUGAACAGAUCUGUGUAGGAUAGGUGGGAGGCUUUGAAGCAGGGUCGCUAGAUCUUGUGGAGCCAACGUUGAAAUACCACCCUGGUGUGUUUGAGGUUCUAACCUAGGCCCGUAAUCCGGGUUGGGGACAGUGCAUGGUAGGCAGUUUGACUGGGGCGGUCUCCUCCCAAAGUGUAACGGAGGAGUUCGAAGGUACGCUAGUUACGGUCGGACAUCGUGACGAUAGUGCAAUGGCAUAAGCGUGCUUAACUGCGAGACUGACAAGUCGAGCAGAUGCGAAAGCAGGACAUAGUGAUCCGGUGGUUCUGUAUGGAAGGGCCAUCGCUCAACGGAUAAAAGGUACUCUGGGGAUAACAGGCUGAUACCGCCCAAGAGUUCAUAUCGACGGCGGUGUUUGGCACCUCGAUGUCGGCUCAUCUCAUCCUGGGGCUGUAGCCGGUCCCAAGGGUAUGGCUGUUCGCCAUUUAAAGAGGUACGUGAGCUGGGUUUAAAACGUCGUGAGACAGUUUGGUCCCUAUCUUCCGUGGGCGCUGCAGAUUUGAGGAAGCCUGCUCCUAGUACGAGAGGACCGGAGUGGACGCACCUCUGGUGUAUCGGUUGUCACGCCAGUGGCAUUGCCGAGUAGCUAUGUGCGGAAGAGAUAACCGCUGAAAGCAUCUAAGCGGGAAACUCGUUUCAAGAUGAGAUCUGCCGGGGCCUUGAGCCCCCUGAAGAGUCGUUCAAGACCAGGACGUUGAUAGGUCGGGUGUGGAAGCGCAGUAAUGCGUUAAGCUACCGAUACUAAUUGCUCGUGCGGCUUGACCCU
This 1303-nucleotide ribosomal RNA is filed under the name metagenome. RNAcentral's name for it is "bacterial LSU rRNA". It matches the Rfam family "Bacterial large subunit ribosomal RNA", at positions 1633 to 2925 of the family's 2925-position model. The record is from RNAcentral.